This 628-nucleotide ribosomal RNA is filed under the name uncultured fungus. RNAcentral describes it as "eukaryotic LSU rRNA". The stretch from base 199 to 352 matches the Rfam family "5.8S ribosomal RNA". The record is from RNAcentral. Lineage: Eukaryota; Fungi.
AGUCGUAACAAGGUUUCCGUAGGUGAACCUGCGGAAGGAUCAUUAGUGAAUAUAGGACGUCCAACUUAACUUGGAGUCCGAACUCUCACUUUCUAACCCUGUGCACUUGUUUGGGAUAGUAACUCUCGCAAGAGAGCGAACUCCUAUUCACUUAUAAACACAAAGUCUAUGAAUGUAUUAAAUUUUAUAACAAAAUAAAACUUUCAACAACGGAUCUCUUGGCUCUCGCAUCGAUGAAGAACGCAGCGAAAUGCGAUAAGUAAUGUGAAUUGCAGAAUUCAGUGAAUCAUCGAAUCUUUGAACGCACCUUGCGCUCCAUGGUAUUCCGUGGAGCAUGCCUGUUUGAGUGUCAUGAAUACUUCAACCCUCCUCUUUCUUAAUGAUUGAAGAGGUGUUUGGUUUCUGAGCGCUGCUGGCCUUUACGGUCUAGCUCGUUCGUAAUGCAUUAGCAUCCGCAAUCGAACUUCGGAUUGACUUGGCGUAAUAGACUAUUCGCUGAGGAAUUCUAGUCUUCGGAUUAGAGCCGAGUUGGGUUAAAGGAAGCUUCUAAUCAGAAUGUCUACAUUUUAAGAUUAGAUCUCAAAUCAGGUAGGACUACCCGCUGAACUUAAGCAUAUCAAUAAAGUCG